RNAcentral lists this ribosomal RNA (454 nucleotides) under uncultured bacterium. RNAcentral's name for it is "partial 16S ribosomal RNA". It matches the Rfam family "Bacterial small subunit ribosomal RNA", at positions 28 to 507 of the family's 1533-position model. The record is from RNAcentral.
GAUGAACGCUGACAGAAUGCUUAACACAUGCAAGUCAACUUGAACUUCGGUUUGGGUGGCGGACGGGUGAGUAACGCGUAAAGAACUUGCCUCACAGCUAGGGACAACAUUUGGAAACGAAUGCUAAUACCUGAUAUUAUGAUUAUAUGGCAUCGUAUAAUUAUGAAAGCUAUAUGCGCUGUGAGAGAGCUUUGCGUCCCAUUAGCUAGUUGGGGAGGUAACAGCUCACCAAGGCGAUGAUGGGUAGCCGGCCUGAGAGGGUGAUCGGCCACAAGGGGACUGAGACACGGCCCUUACUCCUACGGGAGGCAGCAGUGGGGAAUAUGGGACAAUGGACCGAGAGUCUGAUCCAGCAAUUCUGUGUGCACGAUGAAGUUUUUCGGAAUGUAAAGUGCUUUCAGUUGGGAAGAAAAAAAUGACGGUACCAACAGAAGAAGUGACGGCUAAAUACGUG